Molecule: long non-coding RNA, 1179 nt
Filed under: Panax ginseng (ginseng)
Lineage: Eukaryota; Viridiplantae; Streptophyta; Magnoliopsida; Apiales; Araliaceae
Description: long non-coding RNA (PGIN_LNC015440)
Source: RNAcentral
UGCCGUUAAACUUUCCUUCUCUUCUAGCAUUCUCUGCUCAUCCACACUUUUUCUUGCUAAAUCUUCUUUCAGAUUUUCUAUCACAAUAAGGUGUUCUGAAAUUUCUCCAGCCUUCCUCACAAGCUGGAAUUCUAAUUCAGUUUUUUGAGCACUCAAAGAAUUUAUCUUCUCCUGCAGGUUGCCAACCUGCAAUGUCACUGCCAAAAUUUGAGAGGAUGCUUCUUUCUCUCCAGCUUCAGAUUUCAUUGAUACAGAAGAGAGUUCAUUCUCCUUUUCAAUUAAUGACUGUUCUAAUUCAAAAUUUCUAUUUUGCAGCCUAUCCUUUUCCUCUUGCAACUGAACACUCUCAUUGAUUUUACUUCUUAGCUGCUCUUCCAGUUCUCUUUUCUGUGUGCGCAAGGAGCCCACCUCUAGCUCCAUAUCCUUGAGCUGUGCCGUUAAACUUUCUUUCUCUUCUAGCAUUCUCUGCUCAUCCACACUUUUGCUUGCUAAAUCUUCUUUCAGAUUUUCUAUCACAAUAAGGUGUUCUGAAAUUUCUCCAGCCUUCCUCACAAGCUGGAAUUCUAAUUCAGUUUUUUGAGCACUCAAAGAAUUUAUCUUCUCCUGCAGGUUGCCAACCUGCAAUGUCACUGCCAAAAUUUGAGAGGAUGCUUCUUUCUCUCCAGCUUCAGAUUUCAUUGAUACAGAAGAGAGUUCAUUCUCCUUUUCAAUUAAUGACUGUUCUAAUUCAAAAUUUCUAUUUUGCAGCCUAUCCUUUUCCUCUUGCAACUGAACACUCUCAUUGAUUUUACUUCUUAGCUGCUCUUCCAGUUCUCUUUUCUGUGUGCGCAAGGAGCCCACCUCUAGCUCCAUAUCCUUGAGCUGUGCCGUUAAACUUUCUUUCUCUUCUAGCAUUCUCUGCUCAUCCACACUUUUGCUUGCUAAAUCUUCUUUCAGAUUUUCUAUCACAAUAAGGUGUUCUGAAAUUUCUCCAGCCUUCCUCACAAGCUGGAAUUCUAAUUCAGUUUUUUGAGCACUCAAAGAAUUUAUCUUCUCCUGCAGGUUGCCAACCUGCAAUGUCACUGCCAAAAUUUGAGAGGAUGCUUCUUUCUCUCCAGCUUCAGAUUUCAUUGAUACAGAAGAGAGUUCAUUCUCCUUUUCAAUUAAUGACUGUUCCAAUUCAAAGAUUCUAUUUUGCAG